AUUGAACGCUGGCGGCAUGCCUUACACAUGCAAGUCGAACGGUAACAGGUCUUCGGAUGCUGACGAGUGGCGAACGGGUGAGUAAUACAUCGGAACGUGCCCGAUCGUGGGGGAUAACGAGGCGAAAGCUUUGCUAAUACCGCAUACGAUCUACGGAUUAAAGCGGGGGAUCUUCGGACCUCGCGCGGACGGAGCGGCCGAUGGCAGAUUAGGUAGUUGGUGGGAUAAAAGCUUACCAAGCCGACGAUCUGUAGCUGGUCUGAGAGGAUGAUCAGCCACACUGGGACUGAGACACGGCCCAGACUCCUACGGGAGGCAGCAGUGGGGAAUUUUGGACAAUGGGCGAAAGCCUGAUCCAGCCAUGCCGCGUGCAGGAUGAAGGCCUUCGGGUUGUAAACUGCUUUUGUACGGAACGAAAAGCCUCUUUCUAAUAAAGAGGGGUCAUGACGGUACCGUAAGAAUAAGCACCGGCUAACUACGUG
Molecule: ribosomal RNA, 482 nt
Filed under: uncultured bacterium
Lineage: Bacteria
Description: partial 16S ribosomal RNA
Rfam family: Bacterial small subunit ribosomal RNA
Source: RNAcentral